GUUGCACAGAUGGCAUUAAUGACAUUACAAAGUGAGCAGAUGGAGAUAUCUCUUGAUUCCUGUCAAACGUCCACACUGAAGUGCCUGGACUAAGAAUGGACGGCAUGACCAAGGUCCAAGAGAGCCUCACCGAUCCCCCUGGAAGUCUGGAAGCAAAUAAGAAACUUUUUUCCUAUCUCUGAGAUAAUUUUUACUUCACAAAAAAUGGCAUAUAGGAGUAGAUGCUAAAUGGACAAAGAGGAAAUCCUGUAACGUCCCAAGUAGUAUUUACAAGAAAAGAGUGAUGGUGUGCCCAGCUGAGACUGGGACAGGCAUAAACGUCACAGAUUCUGAACUGGAAAUUGUGAAUUUUAAAGUCAUCUAGUCCAAUUUCCACAUUUUACAGAAGAGGAAAACUGAGUUCCGGACAAAAGACUCACUUGCACAAAGCUAAUAAAUGACAAAACCAAGGAUCAGAUCCAGAAUAUCUCUCUACAAAUCAUGUACUCUUUCCAUUGGACCAUUUUGGGAGAGGGGCUCAUUUACUGGUCCUUUGUCCAAAUGGGUUGGCCCAGGCCUUGGCCAGUCUUGCGCCCUCAGGGGAUGAGGUAAUCUCUCCUUGGUCCCCACAAACUCGUUAUUGUGCUGGUGUUGGUCUCAGGCAAACAUGGGACCCUGCGGUGGUGACCUUGAGGCUGGCCCCUAAUAGGACCUCUCAGAUGCAAACUGAAUAGGUGCCGAGGAGGUGACGGCUUCUCUGCAUGCACCACUAUUUCUCGUGCAGUUCCCACCCUGCCCCGGCUCGGCAUCUGCUCCGUCCGUACUUGGUUUUCUCGGAUCCAGAAAUGCAGGGCAAAUUCUGAAACCCUGGCAAUAUCCACGUGGUUUUCUACGUGCACUACUUCCCGCUCCUGAUCGUUGCUACUGUACCCUAAGCUGCCCAAAUUCACAGGUUUGAGAGACUACCUGGUCCAUCCUUCUAAACUAUGCAAAGAGUGGUUGUCCAGCCUGUUUAAAGACCUCGUACCUCCAAGAGUCAGCCCAGUUCCACCCUUUGGAUAUCGGUGUGUGAGCAAGAGGGACGUUGGGCUCCUUCCCGCUCCCACAGCCAGCAUGGGAAAUUUCAAGGGAACGGGUUAGCACCUUCCUAUAAGUGCUUCCGCCUCUCGUGGCUGUUCAAAGGUUUUAUUUAAGCCCCGACUCUCCUCUCCACUCGACUCCUGCACCGCUCCCUCCCACUUCUUCCUUUCCCAGACAGUAAAAUGCUACAACAAUGUCAAGAUACUUUAAAAUUUCUUUAUUCUAGAUUACAGAACGUGCACUGAGUUAUUCACCAGUUAGAAAAAUAAAUGUUCAAUAAUUUCCAAAGUUUCAUUAUAUGCAACUCUGGGAUUCAACAGGUCUUUUAGAAUCAUAUUAAAUAGUGUUUUGAAAUGUGUAGACAUAAAAUUUACUCAAACUUCAAAUAAUGGUAAAAUGAACCCCAUAAUUUAAAUCUCUGGUCUGCCCACCAUGAUUAGCUUCUUUAAUUUACCACUGUAAGUGCUAGAUUUAAAAAAAAAAAAAAAAAAAAAGCAAAUAUAAUGUAUACUUCGAUUAUACUCAUUUGCCAUGAGUCAAAUUAAACCUCUGAAGUUAUAAUUUCAAAACAUUCGUUUUAUGGAGAAAAAAGACCUUGAUUUAGUUUUUUUUUUUAAUCUGCAAAGGGAUACUAAGGAAAAGCAGCUAUACCUGUUUACCUAUAAUUCAAACACCUGAAAGAAUGCCGAUUAAAUGUUUCCACAUCUGUUUUUAUGCGCAGAGAGGCAAUGAACAAUUUCUUUAACUUGAAAUCUCUAGCUUCCAAUGAAGAUGUCAAAUAUAUAGUGCAAUUUCUAAAGGAGAACUAUGGGAAAAGCAAGGAUUAAGUACUAAAGGAUCCUUUGAACUUGCAACAACUAUUAAAGUUAAAUGAUUUGGGGGGCAAUUUUAUAAAAACUGAACAUUUUGGUGUGAUAUUCACAGAUAUAAGCAUAUUUUAUAUAUAUUUUAUACUUCUAUAUGCAG
This is a long non-coding RNA of Antechinus flavipes (yellow-footed antechinus), 2025 nucleotides long. RefSeq lists it as uncharacterized. The transcript is spliced from 2 exons. Lineage: Eukaryota; Metazoa; Chordata; Mammalia; Dasyuromorphia; Dasyuridae. The record is from RefSeq and is a predicted model, not a curated record.